AUGUUGAGCACGACCGGCGCGCCGCACAGGUGCGUCACCCCGUGGCGAGAGAUGGCGGCGUAGACAUCUGCGACCCCCACCCGGCGAAGGCAGACGUUGGUGCCGCCCACCACGGCCACCCCCCACGGAAAGCUCCAGCCGUUGACGUGGAACAUGGGGAGCGUCCACAGGUACGUCGGCCGCGCCGGCAUCGCCCAGUCCACGAGCGAGUCGAGGGUUAUCAAGAAGAUGCCGCGGUGGCAGUGCAACACCCCCUUGGGCGCCGACGUCGUACCGAAGGUGUAG
This 285-nucleotide ribosomal RNA is filed under the name Triticum aestivum (bread wheat). RNAcentral's name for it is "partial small subunit ribosomal RNA". Lineage: Eukaryota; Viridiplantae; Streptophyta; Magnoliopsida; Poales; Poaceae. The record is from RNAcentral.